Cavia porcellus (domestic guinea pig) is the source of this 374-nucleotide long non-coding RNA. RefSeq lists it as uncharacterized. The transcript has 3 exons. The record is from RefSeq and is a predicted model, not a curated record. NCBI's taxonomy places the organism in Eukaryota, Metazoa, Chordata, Mammalia, Rodentia, Caviidae.
AUCUGCAGGGGCCCCCCUAUUUAUAGAAUGGUUCCACUCCCAUCACUCACCACAGCUUGAUGUAGGCUUCCCGCCAACUCAGCUCUCCAUUUGGCUCACUGACCUCCGAACUCAAUGUAACUGUGACUCCAUGCUGUCACCAUCAUGCCUGAUUACUGCCUAAGUCACACGCCACCAUGGAGAAAGACAGAGAAAUGAAUAAUUCAGCCAUGGUGAAGACCAGCAGCAUCACCAUGAUUCCCUGUAACAGAAGAAGAAAGAGUGAGGGAUCUGGUGCCCCGGAGCCAGCUUCACGGAGAAGGACCUGAGGACACAGACGUUUCUGCUGUGGUAAGGCGGAAAGACAGCAGGCUAUGUCAUUCAAGAAAUUCUUA